UAUAAAAUACAAAACAUGGUGAAGCAUAAGGCUUUUACCAGAUCAAGAUCAAUCCUACAAUCAUUCCAUCACUAUCUUGUCACGAACAAUCACGCCCUUUUCCAUCAAAUAGAUCUAAAUACUACAACAGCCACAUCUAAACCAAUGACAUAGCUUAUCCUUCAGAAUCCAUCAGUCUCAUAGCAUCAAAUACACUUAUACAAGUAGAAGCAACCAACACAGAACAUUCCACAAAGUAGAC
Long non-coding RNA from Arabidopsis thaliana (thale cress), 241 nucleotides. RefSeq annotates it as other RNA. NCBI's taxonomy places the organism in Eukaryota, Viridiplantae, Streptophyta, Magnoliopsida, Brassicales, Brassicaceae. The record is from RefSeq. The transcript has a single exon.